GGGUUGUCAUGCCAAUGGCAUUGCCCGGUAGCUAAAUGCGGAAGAGAUAAGUGCUGAAAGCAUCUAAGCACGAAACUUGCCCCGAGAUGAGUUCUCCCUGAGACUUUAAGUCUCCUGAAGGAACGUUAAAGACGAUGACGUUGAUAGGCCGGGUGUGUAAGCGCAGCGAUGCGUUGAGCUAACCGGUACUAAUGAACCGUGAGGCUUAACCUUACAACGCCGAAG
RNAcentral lists this ribosomal RNA (225 nucleotides) under Klebsiella pneumoniae. RNAcentral's name for it is "partial 23S ribosomal RNA". It matches the Rfam family "Bacterial large subunit ribosomal RNA", at positions 2718 to 2925 of the family's 2925-position model. The record is from RNAcentral. Lineage: Bacteria; Pseudomonadati; Pseudomonadota; Gammaproteobacteria; Enterobacterales; Enterobacteriaceae.